Molecule: long non-coding RNA, 2467 nt
Filed under: Lotus japonicus
Lineage: Eukaryota; Viridiplantae; Streptophyta; Magnoliopsida; Fabales; Fabaceae
Description: long non-coding RNA (LJAP_LNC000231)
Source: RNAcentral
UGGGGAUCUGCAUUUGCUUCUACAGCUUGUGAUGGUCUAGGUGGGUCAAUGGGAAAUCCAGAAGCAGCUUCUUCAGGAUGAGGGUUAAACUUCUCACUCCGGCUUUGAGAACUAGUCAGCCCUCGUCUCUUCUGUAGAAAAAAAUUUAUUUAUAUUUUCAGCAGAAGAAAAACAGAUGUCAACAAAAAUGAGUUGAGUAAACAGGAUGAGAUGAGUGUGUAGUUUUUCACCUAGUUCAGUUUUGAAUUUUGACAAUUGCACAGAUUUAGCGAUUUGUAAAACAGUAAUAGGUGCUUCAAAUAAGAUUUCUGUAAUUGAUUCAUACUGCCCAAUAAAACUUCAAUCUCUCUCGCUGUAAUGUCUGAAUCCUAAGAUCCCCACUACCUAGUGGGAAUGCGUGAUAAAUCUUCUUUGAAUACCCCAAGAUAAUAUGACAUGCGCAUAUUGAAUGGAUGACCUAAAUAAAGUGCUUAUCUGAUAGGAAUAGGGGAGUGACAGUUAUGGCGUGAUAGAGGUUGUUAUUGUAAUAAUAGCUAACUAACCUAAAGUGUGAAUGUGUUAGUGAGUUAGCAAGGAAAAGGGACUCAGUGGGAGUCAUCUAGAUUGUAUCAGGGAAUUAUAGGAGAGUGCUAGUUCUCUCGAAUAACCAGCACGUAUUAUUCAUUUAUAUUCUUUAAUAAUAGUCAUUUUCUUCUCCUUCACUACCGGUUCUUAUCAAUUGGAAUUAGAGUCUUCCACCUUGUCACAGCUGGAAAUGAGCGGUGUGGGUGGUGACGUUGCAGUGUUCGUGCAGGACUAGUCAAAGGGCUAGUGCAUAACCAGCCCAGGAUGGCACCAGGGCUGCUGAGCAUGGUGCAAUGUUAGGACCCAAUUGUAAGGUAUGGGACUUGAGUCCCACAUUGGAAGUAUGGGAUUCUAAUAUGGGGUUUGUAAUGAGGCCUUGGGCUCUCCCGCUACAAUAGCUAGCUUUUUUGGUAUGGUUGUCCUAAGGUUCUUAUCAAUUGGUAUUAGAGCUCCAAUCUUGGAGAUGAUUUCAACAUUUGAUGGAUGGGAUGCUCAUUGGUGGUUCAUCCAUGUGGAUCAGCAUUACGAGGCCAGGAGUAUAGCUGAGGAGAAGUUCUCAGAGGGGCUGAGAAGGCUUUGGAAGGUGAUGCUCACAUUUGGCGGUUUUGCUGGAAAAAAAGUAACCGAAAAGCAAAAUGCUGGGAGUUUGUGAAGGCCUUGGUGAAGAAAUUCCAACCAGAAUUGUAACCUUACAUACCAGUACAGGUUCAAGAUUCUGGGAGGAAGAAAGCCCAAGAAAAGAUGACGUCUUGGAAAAUGCAAACGCAGAGAUGAAAUUCUGUGGUUUCAAUGGAUGAAAGGUUUCUCUCAAAGGAGGAGCCGAGAAAAAUUCUGAAGAACCAGAAAAGGAUACAAGAAAUCAGAGAAAUAUGUAAAAAAAAAAACUGCGAAAAUGAGCGGGUCAACCCCACCAAAAUUGUCGUACCAUGGUGUAGGCACAAUGGUCAUAGAUACUCUUCUGAAGAGACUCUGAAGUAUGGAAGUCAGAAAUGAGUGUAGAAAAGAAACAGGAAUAAUGGAGAGCAGAAAUCAUGGAAAAGAAAGCAACCGGCUUGUCAAAAAACCAGCCAAGGCUACGGAUACAGCAGCAAGGUGGAGAAAAAAGUAACAAUGGCCGUAGAGGAGAAACACAUGAUGAUGAAGCAAGAAAAGUGAAGGUUGAGCACCACGAGAUCCACCUGACAUGGAUGGUCGUCGAAUGACAAAAGCAACGUCGAUGUUCGAAACAGUGACAGAACAAAAAGCAAGGGUCUGUUUGACUGCACAAAAGAAAGUUUCGAACUGUAAGACCAGCCCAGAAACACCUGCAGAACAACCAGAUUUAGGGCUGGGCAAGGAUGAAAAUGGGUCAGCAGUUGUGACAUGGUCCUCGACCAAGGAGUGCCCGACCUUAAGUUGGUAAAACAAGCAGCCCCUUCCGAAACCGUUAUACUGUUUUGCACGUAAGGUUGUCCUAGAUGAAACGGCCACCGUUAGAACUGCCUAACCGUGGUGGUUGAUGUUUUGUUGGUGACGGAGCUGACGGAAAGAUACAUGCUACCACGAGGUAAUUGAACAGUAACAAAAAGUGGGAUAAGACAAAGGCUAAAAACUUCAAGAGGGAGAUAGGUGAGCCAGGUGUCCUGUUUCCGAUGUCUCUGCCUUUUUCGGUGCCAGCCAAUACUUGUUGGCAUGGAGGAAUUGACAAAUGGGUGAGUGGAGAUAGAGCACAGUACAGAGGAUACUCCCUCCAAGCCCUUGAUAAACAAAUAGGCCAAGCUCAAGUCAAUAGAAAAAGUUAGCAAGCUGAAGAGGGAAUUUUGCAGCUGCUAUGAGAGAAUGAAAAGAGCUGAAAAUAUAGAGCGCACUGCUGAUGGAGGCUUAGAAGAAGAUCAAUGGGACCUUGGGGAUAGUACUAUUGCCC